RNAcentral lists this ribosomal RNA (568 nucleotides) under Melampsora magnusiana. RNAcentral's name for it is "eukaryotic LSU rRNA". The stretch from base 182 to 336 matches the Rfam family "5.8S ribosomal RNA". Lineage: Eukaryota; Fungi; Basidiomycota; Pucciniomycetes; Pucciniales; Melampsoraceae. The record is from RNAcentral.
GAGCGCACUUUAAUGUGACUCUUUGUAUCACCAUUACCACCCAACCCAGAGGUGCAUUGUGGCCUUUAACGAGGUUAGCAGUGUAUCAGUACGUAUCCCAAAGGCAACUUUGAGUUACAUUACCCAUCAUUUACCCCCAUUUACACUUAAUAAGUUUUAAGAAUGAAAACCAUACCUAUAUAACUUUCAGCAAUGGAUCUCUAGGCUCUCACGUCGAUGAAGAACACAGUGAAAUGUGAUACGUAAUGUGAAUUGCAGAAUUCAGUGAAUCAUCGAAUCUUUGAACGCACCUUGCACCUUUUGGUUAUUCCGAAAGGUACACCUGUUUGAGUGUCACGAAACCCCCCUCGGCUCUAAUGCUUUCUAAAAGGAUUUGAGACGGAUUCUGAGUGUUGGCGUGAUWACGCCUCGCUUUAAAUAGAUCAGCACUUUUGGAUGGUUUAAUAUUAGUUCNAAAGACGUACUUGAUGUUGUAUUUAUAUUUCGUUGAGGCAGUCUUUGGUCGUUCCGACUAUCCGCUAAUAUGACGACUUGAAGAAUAGCUUCCUAACCCUAUGAAUUUAACCUU